This 74-nucleotide transfer RNA is filed under the name Marmota monax (woodchuck). RNAcentral's name for it is "tRNA.Ala". Lineage: Eukaryota; Metazoa; Chordata; Mammalia; Rodentia; Sciuridae. The record is from RNAcentral.
GCUGGGGAUGUGCUCAAGUGGUAGCGUGCUCACCUAGCAUGCGUGAGGCACUGGGUUCGAUUCUCAGCACAACA